GACGAACGCUGGCGGCGUGCUUAACACAUGCAAGUCGAACGGUGAAGCGCCUUCCUUUUUGGUGGGUGUGGAUGAGUGGCGAACGGGUGAGUAACACGUGAGUAACCUGCCCCCUUCUUCUGGAUAACCGCAUGAAAGUGUGGCUAAUACGGGAUAUUCUGGGUCUGUCGCAUGAUGGGUCUGGGAAAGAUAUUGUUUCGGUGGGGGAUGGGCUCGCGGCCUAUCAGCUUGUUGGUGGGGUGAUGGCCUACCAAGGCGGUGACGGGUAGCCGGCCUGAGAGGGUGGACGGUCACACUGGGACUGAGACACGGCCCAGACUCCUACGGGAGGCAGCAGUGGGGAAUAUUGCACAAUGGGCGCAAGCCUGAUGCAGCGACGCCGCGUGAGGGAUGGAGGCCUUCGGGUUGUGAACCUCUUUCGCCAGUGAAGCAGGCCUGCCUCGUUUGUGGGUGGGUUGACGGUAGCUGGAUAAGAAGCGCCGGCUAAGUACGUG
This 494-nucleotide ribosomal RNA is filed under the name uncultured bacterium. Its description in RNAcentral is "partial 16S ribosomal RNA". It matches the Rfam family "Bacterial small subunit ribosomal RNA", at positions 28 to 507 of the family's 1533-position model. The record is from RNAcentral.